GCUUACGGCCAUACCACCCUGAACACGCCCGAUCUCGUCUGAUCUCGGAAGCUAAGCAGGGUCGGGCCUGGUCAGUACUUGGAUGGGAGACCGCCUGGGAAUACCAGGUGCUGCAAGCU
Molecule: ribosomal RNA, 119 nt
Organism: Oreochromis aureus
Lineage: Eukaryota; Metazoa; Chordata; Actinopteri; Cichliformes; Cichlidae
Source: Ensembl